AUUCAGCUGACGAGUCCCAAUUAGGACUAAACGCGAUUCCUGGAU
This 45-nucleotide non-coding RNA is filed under the name Schistosoma mansoni. The record is from RNAcentral. Lineage: Eukaryota; Metazoa; Platyhelminthes; Trematoda; Strigeidida; Schistosomatidae.